UGGGGAAUUGUUCACAAUGGGCGCAAGCCUGAUGACGCAACGCCGCGUGGGGGAUGAAGGUCUUCGGAUUGUAAACCCCUGUCGAAUGGGACGAAAGACUCGCGAGUUAAUACUUCGCGGGAGUGACGGUACCGUUAAAGGAAGCCACGGCUAACUCUGUGCCAGCAGCCGCGGUAAUACAGAGGUGGCAAGCGUUGUUCGGAAUUACUGGGCGUAAAGGGCGCGUAGGCGGCCUACUAAGUCAGACGUGAAAUCCCCCGGCUUAACCUGGGAACUGCGUCUGAUACUGGAAGGCUUGAGUAUGGGAGAGGGAUGUAGAAUUCCAGGUGUAGAGGUGAAAUUCGUAGAUAUUAGGAAGAGCACCGGUGGCGAAGGCGGCCCACUGGAUCGGUACUGACGCUGAGGUGCGAAAGCGUGGGGAGCAAACAGGAUUAGAUACCCCCGUAGUCCCUGAGCGGGCUGGCAAGGCGCAU
This 473-nucleotide ribosomal RNA is filed under the name uncultured bacterium. RNAcentral's name for it is "bacterial SSU rRNA". It matches the Rfam family "Bacterial small subunit ribosomal RNA", at positions 355 to 825 of the family's 1533-position model. The record is from RNAcentral.